RNAcentral lists this small nucleolar RNA (140 nucleotides) under Setaria italica (foxtail millet). RNAcentral describes it as "Small nucleolar RNA Z247". It matches the Rfam family "Small nucleolar RNA Z247". Rfam says of the family: Z247 is a member of the C/D class of snoRNA which contain the C (UGAUGA) and D (CUGA) box motifs. Most of the members of the box C/D family function in directing site-specific 2'-O-methylation of substrate RNAs. Lineage: Eukaryota; Viridiplantae; Streptophyta; Magnoliopsida; Poales; Poaceae. The record is from Rfam by way of RNAcentral.
AAAGUCGAAGAUGACGAGAUGAUAUCCUUUAUUCUUACUGGAUUGGAUAGUGAAUACAAUCCUAUUGUCACAUCUGUCAUGGGGCAUCUUUGUUGGGCUAUGAGGUAGGCUACGCUAGUGCAAAACAGAAUUUUUCUACC